RNAcentral lists this ribosomal RNA (351 nucleotides) under uncultured bacterium. RNAcentral's name for it is "bacterial SSU rRNA". It matches the Rfam family "Bacterial small subunit ribosomal RNA", at positions 29 to 364 of the family's 1533-position model. The record is from RNAcentral.
AAUCAACGCUGGCGGCGUGCCUAACACAUGCAAGUCGAACGCGAAAGUCCCGCAAGGGAUUAGUAGAGUGGCAAACGGGUGAGUAACACGUGGGUGACCUGCCUUCGAGCGGGGAUAACAUCCCGAAAGGGAUGCUAAUACCGCAUGACAUCCUGCCUUUUAAGAGGCGGGAGAUCAAAGCCGGGGAUCGCAAGACCUGGCACUCGAAGAGGGGCCCGCGCCCGAUUAGCUAGGUUGGNGAGGUAACGGCUCACCAAGGCAACGAUCGGGUAGCCGGCCUGAGAGGGGCGACGGCCACACUGGGACUGAGACACGGCCCAGACUCCUACGGGGAGCAGCAGUGGGGAAUUG